Long non-coding RNA from Coregonus clupeaformis (lake whitefish), 1406 nucleotides. RefSeq lists it as uncharacterized. The transcript has 3 exons. The record is from RefSeq and is a predicted model, not a curated record. Lineage: Eukaryota; Metazoa; Chordata; Actinopteri; Salmoniformes; Salmonidae.
GCUGGCCAGGGCGAGGGGAGGGACCAUCAGAAUAGCAAAGAUUGUCAUCAGAGAUGAAGAGCUGGUGCUAGGUACAUACAGAGGACGGGCACAGAGCUGAGACAAUGACUAUGACCACUUCCUCCUUCCUCUGCUGGUGUCUCAGGAGCCGUGCUACAUCCUCUACCGCCUCAACUCCCAGAAUGCACAGGGCUAUGAGUGGAUCUUCAUCGCUUGGUCACCUGAUCAAUCACCAGAAUGUAAGGGACAAGAUGGUCUACGCUGCCACCCGAGCCACACCGAAGAAGGAGUUUGGUGGAGGUCACAUCAAGGAAUAAAUGUUUGGCACAGAUGAGGUCUGUGGUAUGGAAUCGUUAAAUGAAAAACACUUUGAAUUUACUUUGGUUUAACUGACUUGUGGGUUAACCCUAUCAAUCCCAGGCCUUUGGAAUGGCCUCCCUCCUCCCUACCUUUACUUACUGCAUAUUGGAACAUUUGACUCACUCCACAGCAUUCAAGUACUCUGUUCAGGAGAUACAGGGCCAGGGGUUAAGAUGUUUACUAGACCACACCCACUCCAGAGUCCAGACAGUAGAGCAAAGCUCCACAUCCCAUAUGGGUAGACACUUGAUGAGGGGUGAAAUGAGGGCUUGGCCUCAUUUGGUCUGAAGAUUAUCAUGUGCAGGCAGUCAGUGGAUGAUGUUGCCCAGUAGAAGUUGCAUCACUGUGUGAUUAAAAGCUUAUGGCAACAGCUCAUGACAACCCUGUAGAAUGUGGGCCUCAGGGACAUAGUUGACCUCGCUACUAAAGAGCAGUCAGACUACCGUACCGAGGUUGAGUUAGAUAGGUGAGAAGGGAGCCCUCUAUUUGAAAAUGAAGAACUCUGUAAAUUAUUUUUUAUACCUUUGUAUGAUGUGUAGUACAUGUAGUCAGCCGUAUGUGUUUGUCUCUGUAAUAUGCCAUCCAGGACAAGGUUGUAUGGGUAAGCUAUGGUUCUUCUCUCAGUCUUUUCACCUGUGUAUUUUGUAUCUGUGUGAGUAUGUGUGUGGGUCUGAGCAUCAGAUUCAGGCGUCUGCAUGCUAACUGUUUCAGGUGUAUGUGUGCAAGUAUGUAUGCAAUGUGUGCAUGUGUGUGAGAGAGAAGGCGGGGAAAAAGAGAGAAAGAGCUAGAAACAAGAUGGCUGUCCAUUAUAUGCCCACAGGAUGAGCAUAGAAGGCUAAGUGACACUCCCAGAGAAUGAGCAAAGGUUUGUUCCUCCCUUUCAUCUAUAAUUCGGUACUAAAGACAUUUGAAGAGAGGCUUGCUCCCAAUAUUCCCUCUAAACUACACCACAGGCGCGCAGUAGCCCCAAGAUAGCUGCGCAGCUCCCCAGGACUGCCGCGCAGAAGAAAUACUGGAUCAGUGUCACGACUUCCUCCGAAGCUGCC